This is a non-coding RNA of Momordica charantia (bitter melon), 1430 nucleotides long. Lineage: Eukaryota; Viridiplantae; Streptophyta; Magnoliopsida; Cucurbitales; Cucurbitaceae. The record is from RefSeq and is a predicted model, not a curated record.
ACCAUUUUCCGAGCUUUGCUGUGAGAGUUCGUACAUUCGUGGCUGCGUUCUUUCCUCCGUUAAGUGUUCCUUUAUCCACUUUCUCAGCUCUCUAUUUUCUAGGGUUUUCUAUCGUACCUAAUGCAAUUUCCUAUUCUUUUAUUUUUCUUCCCAUCAAUUGUACGUCGACUCAGAAUGGAAGAUUUCAAGUUUCGUAUUAGGGGAGAUGAGAUCAAAUGGCUAAGCCUUGAGCGAAAAGAAAGAAAAUCCUCACUUGAAGAGAGACGAGAGUGGCUGUGGUCUUCGUUGAAGGAGAAUCGAAGUGUGUGUGAGCCGGAGGGCCACGACGUAGCGGUAAAAAUUCUACGAAUCAGAUAAUGGAGGAAAACUUGAGUGGCCACAACGGUGCAAUAUUUUGACAAAAUUGAAGUGUUCGACGGAUCGAUUUCCUAGGGUACGCUAGGUUACCAUCACAAAAUGGGAAGGGCGUCGGCAAAUUGAAGCUUACUACACUGGUUUAAAUCAUCUCUGGAAGUUCAUUGAAAAAGGAAAAAAGAAAAAAUGAAAAAAAGAAAAAUAAUCAUCUGUGAUCAAGGGUGGACCCAUUUGCAGAGAAUGGAAGAAAUUAUCAAUUUCAAAUGGAGUGUACAAUAGUCUCUCUCAUUCUCGUAACCAUUUUCGACUCAUCUGCACAAUCAAAUGGAGCAAGAGGGCAAGAGAGGUUUACCAUAAUGUAAGGUAUCUCAAUUUCAGAAUCAUUGGGUGGGUAAAGGUCGGAACCGUUGUUUUUAUGGAAGUUAAUUAUUGUUGAGCGUAUUCGAGAAGACAUAGAAGAGGGAACAGAACUAGGACUUGCUCCCAGAUGCUGUGAGGAAAGAGAGGAUGAAGAUUCCUUCUCAAAGAGCAAGCACUUCUCAUGGGUGAACAGAUCAUCCAGAUGAAUUGAUACUAUGUUUUUAUGAUGACGGUCCUUUCAAAAUCACUUAUAACUUUUGACUUGUUUGCAAUGAAUAUGUUUGCGACAAGGCAUCAGUUCUUCUAUACGGUGGUCCAACCAAUUGGAACUAGUUCUGAUGUUUCUAUAUUUGCCAUGAUGGAAAGAGGACCUGCAGGUACAUGCUAUGGAAUUUGUAAGGUCGAGGAAGUUCGGGGCCAAACACAAAGCGUUUGUAACUUUGAAUAAUCUGAGACUUAGCUCUCUCAAAUCUCGGACGAGAGCGUAGAUCGGAUGUGGAUGACUGAAGAAUGGAGUUUGCCGGGUGGAGAGCCAGGUCCGAUUCCAUUGUUUCAAUGGUAAAAGGAAGGAAAUUUGAGUAAUGGUAAAAUAUAUCUAAUUUUUAUGAUUCAAGGAUUCAUUUCUACGAUAUAAAAAUUCAUAUUUAAUGUUCAGGACUCUAAUGUUUCACUGUUUCACUUAUAAGAGUUCGAAUGUUUAAUUUUUACUAUUGAAA